Molecule: ribosomal RNA, 523 nt
Filed under: uncultured bacterium
Lineage: Bacteria
Description: bacterial SSU rRNA
Rfam family: Bacterial small subunit ribosomal RNA
Source: RNAcentral
CGGCAUGCCUAAGACAUGCAAGUCGAACGAGGUGGCCCACUGAUUAAGAAGGAAAGUUGAAAAGCUUGCUUGGAUGCUGGAAUUCUUAUGACGUGGAUCUUCCACCUAGUGGCAAACGGGUGAGUAACACGUGGGUUACCUACCUCUAAGUUGGGGAUAACAAUUGGAAACGAUUGAUAAUACCGAAUAUGCUCUCCGGAGUAAAGAAGCCCUUAAAGCUUCGCUUAGAGAUGGGCCUGCGGCGUAUUAGUUAGUUGGUGGGGUAACGGCCUACCAAGACGACGAUGCGUAGCCGAACUGAGAGGUUGAUCGGCCACACUGGGACUGAGACACGGCCCAGACUCCUACGGGAGACAGCAGUUAGGAAUAUUCGUCAAUGGGGGAAACCCUGAACGAGCAAUGCCGCGUGAGUGAUGAAGGCCCUAUGGGUUGUAAAACUCUGUUGUUGAGAAAGAAUUGUAAGAUUAGGAAAUGAGUCUUACUUGACGGUACUCUUCAAGAAAGCCACGGCUAACUACGUGCC